This 465-nucleotide ribosomal RNA is filed under the name uncultured bacterium. Its description in RNAcentral is "partial 16S ribosomal RNA". It matches the Rfam family "Bacterial small subunit ribosomal RNA", at positions 28 to 507 of the family's 1533-position model. The record is from RNAcentral.
GAUGAACGCUGGCGGCGUGCUUAACACAUGCAAGUCGAACGGAAAGGCCCAAGCUUGCUUGGGUACUCGAGUGGCGAACGGGUGAGUAACACGUGGGUGAUCUGCCCUGCACUUCGGGAUAAGCCUGGGAAACUGGGUCUAAUACCGGAUAGGACCACAUUUUGGAUGGUGUGGUGGAAAGUUUUUCGGUGUGGGAUGAGCUCGCGGCCUAUCAGCUUGUUGGUGGGGUAAUGGCCUACCAAGGCGUCGACGGGUAGCCGGCCUGAGAGGGUGUACGGCCACAUUGGGACUGAGAUACGGCCCAGACCCCUACGGGAGGCAGCAGUGGGGAAUAUUGCACAAUGGGCGCAAGCCUGAUGCAGCGACGCCGCGUGGGGGAUGACGGCCUUCGGGUUGUAAACUCCUUUCGCUAGGGACGAAGCGCAAGUGACGGUACCUGGAGAAGAAGCACCGGCUAACUACGUG